CAAGCUUGUACCGGUACAUCAAAAAGAGAAAAAUAAAUAGCAGCAUAACAAAAAGAUGUAACGAAAUUCUUGAUAAAUAACAAACUAGGAAAAAUGCAAAUGCUGUCUGAGUUUGCUGGUAAUGGAGUUUGUUAAAAAACGACAGAAAGCUCUUAAAGUACAAACUGAUAAAUCAAGCAACUAGAAUAUGAGAAGGGAAAUGUGAUUCACUGAAUCACAUAAACAGGUUGGGCUUCUUUGCUUUGUAGGUUGUUUUUAGGCUCCUAGUAGGAGGCCUAAUCUUCUUGUACACCAAGGGGAACUUGAUUUUGGAAUUGUGGAACUGCUUAGUGCUCUCCCUUUUGCACAGAUUAGCUGGGAUGGUGGCCGUCUUAAUGAUCUGGAUGCAAGGAAAUCUGACCCUAUGACGAGAUGCCAUUUCGUUGUACAUUGUCUCCACAGCACCGUUUAGAGUAGUAUCACGGUAUUCCUUGUACAUAUUGUGAUAACCAGUACGACUCUGAUAACGCAGCCAAAUUCCGUAGUUCUUAAUCUUGGUAGGAUUUUUCUCAAAGAUCUGCAAUUAAAAAGAGGUACCAUAAACCCCUAUGUCCAAAAAGACUGCAAUUGAAGGUAAAAUAAUAACUAAAAAUCCAACUCCAGGUAUUCUUUCAUCACAAUUAGCCUUACUUUUCCUAGCAUAAUUGAAACAAUAUGCGGAAAAAAAAUGAGCAUAAUUUUUCAGGUUAGUCACUGGUUUCAUGCUAAAACCCUACCUGAAAUACUUAAGAUAGGCAUACAGUUUGAAGGAAAAAACUGGCAAAAUCCCUUAAAAAGACAUGUCACAACAACAGGUUACCUAUGUUUGGAUUUUGACAUAAUUCGUCUUCAAUCAAAACAGCUUAGACUCAAAUGUUUAGUCAAUGACUUCUCAAAACAAAACAACUAAACAGAGCAAAUUUUAUACCAGCACUAAUCAAAACAGAUGUUUUUAUAUGCUAUCAUGGAAUGCUAAUCAAAAUCACAGUUAAAAUCAUCGAAAUGUCAUAUCAAUUGUUCUAUUUAGAAUCACAAAAUACCAAACAAGUGCUUCUACGAGUCGAUAAAUACAAAUAAGCUGUUGAUAAGUAUAAAUCUAGCUUAACUACAAUCCUAGUAUAAAAUUUGAAUUAACAGGUAGAAUAAAUAAAUGUGCAUACCUCAUUGAUAGCCAAAACUUGUCCAUUACUUUUCUUAACCUUCUUCAACUUCCUCAAGAAAUACC
RNAcentral lists this long non-coding RNA (1243 nucleotides) under Medicago truncatula (barrel medic). RNAcentral's name for it is "lncRNA gene12424". Lineage: Eukaryota; Viridiplantae; Streptophyta; Magnoliopsida; Fabales; Fabaceae. The record is from RNAcentral.